RNAcentral lists this transfer RNA (73 nucleotides) under Thermoleophilia bacterium. RNAcentral's name for it is "tRNA-Ala". It matches the Rfam family "tRNA". From Rfam's summary of the family: Transfer RNA (tRNA) molecules are approximately 80 nucleotides in length. The record is from RNAcentral. RNAcentral also lists the same sequence under 1 other name. Lineage: Bacteria; Bacillati; Actinomycetota; Thermoleophilia.
GGGGGUAUAGCUCAGUUGGGAGAGCGCCGCGUUCGCAUCGCGGAGGCCAGGGGUUCGAGUCCCCUUACCUCCA